GCCUUAGUUAUGUAACGGUAGUACACUCGGCUCGUAUUCGAGAGGUCCAGGUUCGAGCCCCGGCGAGGGCA
RNAcentral lists this transfer RNA (71 nucleotides) under Stegodyphus mimosarum. It matches the Rfam family "tRNA". Rfam says of the family: Transfer RNA (tRNA) molecules are approximately 80 nucleotides in length. Their secondary structure includes four short double-helical elements and three loops (D, anti-codon, and T loops). Further hydrogen bonds mediate the characteristic L-shaped molecular structure. tRNAs have two regions of fundamental functional importance: the anti-codon, which is responsible for specific mRNA codon recognition, and the 3' end, to which the tRNAs corresponding amino acid is attached (by aminoacyl-tRNA synthetases). tRNAs cope with the degeneracy of the genetic code in two manners: having more than one tRNA (with a specific anti-codon) for a particular amino acid; and 'wobble' base-pairing, i.e. permitting non-standard base-pairing at the 3rd anti-codon position. Lineage: Eukaryota; Metazoa; Arthropoda; Arachnida; Araneae; Eresidae. The record is from Rfam by way of RNAcentral.